Molecule: ribosomal RNA, 329 nt
Filed under: uncultured eukaryote
Lineage: Eukaryota
Description: partial 18S ribosomal RNA
Rfam family: Eukaryotic small subunit ribosomal RNA
Source: RNAcentral
CCCUUAGAUGUCCUGGGCCGCACGCGCGCUACACUGAGUGUCUGAGAUACGAGUCUGCCUGGUCCGGCAAGGUCUAGGUAAUCGCUAAAAGACACAUCAUGCUUGGGAUAGAUUAUUGCAAAUAUUAAUCUUGAACGAGGAAUUCCUAGUAAGCGCAAGUCAACAGCUUGCGUUGAUUACGUCCCUGCCCUUUGUACACACCGCCCGUCGCUACUACUGAUUGGAUGUUUAAGCGAGGUUCUCGAACUGCUAGCGACUUAGCUUCGGUGAGGUCGCAGUGUGGGAAGUGAACCUAGCUUUGGUGUCUAGAGGAAGUAAAAGUCGUAACG